GGGUUGCUAGCUCAGCUGGUAGAGCAACUGACUCUUAAUCAGUAGGUCCCGGGUUCGAGCCCCGGGCAACCCA
RNAcentral lists this transfer RNA (73 nucleotides) under Spirochaetes bacterium RBG_16_49_21. RNAcentral's name for it is "tRNA-Lys". It matches the Rfam family "tRNA". Rfam says of the family: Transfer RNA (tRNA) molecules are approximately 80 nucleotides in length. Their secondary structure includes four short double-helical elements and three loops (D, anti-codon, and T loops). Lineage: Bacteria; Pseudomonadati; Spirochaetota. The record is from RNAcentral.